GACGAACGCUGGCGGCGUGCCUAAUACAUGCAAGUUGAGCGAUGAAGAUUGGUGCUUGCACCAAUUUGAAGAGCAGCGAACGGGUGAGUAACGCGUGGGGAAUCUGCCUUUGAGCGGGGGACAACAUUUGGAAACGAAUGCUAAUACCGCAUAACAACUUUAAACAUAAGUUUUAAGUUUGAAAGAUGCAAUUGCAUCACUCAAAGAUGAUCCCGCGUUGUAUUAGCUAGUUGGUGAGGUAAAGGCUCACCAAGGCGAUGAUACAUAGCCGACCUGAGAGGGUGAUCGGCCACAUUGGGACUGAGACACGGCCCAAACUCCUACGGGAGGCAGCAGUAGGGAAUCUUCGGCAAUGGACGAAGGUCUGACCGAGCAACGCCGCGUGAGUGAAGAAGGUUUUCGGAUCGUAAAACUCUGUUGGUAGAGAAGAACGUUGGUGAGAGUGGAAAGCUCAUCAAGUGACGGUAACUACCCAGAAAGGGACGGCUAACUACGU
This 496-nucleotide ribosomal RNA is filed under the name uncultured bacterium. Its description in RNAcentral is "partial 16S ribosomal RNA". It matches the Rfam family "Bacterial small subunit ribosomal RNA", at positions 28 to 506 of the family's 1533-position model. The record is from RNAcentral.